GCACGCACGCACGCACGCACACACACACACACACACACUCACCAGCCUUCCUUCCUCCUUCUCGGACCUCAUGUCCUCCUCGGCACAAGCUCCGUUUGACUCCACUGUCAGUCCUGGUGUGAGCUCUCAUAGCAGGUGGAAAAAAAAAGUGGAGUCGCACUGAUACAGCCGAACACACAGGAUUCAAAUAUCACCCAACACCACCGUAGCCCGCUGCUCCGAGCUUAGCUCACGUGGCUCCACCCAAACAGGUAACUAGGAAGCGGUCCCAAGGGAGCCGCUCAGGAACACCGUCCCCUCUUCUCCUCCUUUUUUUUCACCUCUUAUAAAUGCGACACUCUUCCCUCCUUCUUUCUGUGCUACCUGAUCUCGACACACCCAGAGGACAACUUUCACCCACUCCUGCUUCGUCUACCCCUUAGUGUUGACAAGAAGGACGAGGGGGAGGGGAAGCCAAAGUGCACUUGUGGCCUCAGGAAACCUGGAGGUUAUCUCGUGUCCUAACAGGCCUGAGAAGGAGACAGGAAUGAGGGGAGGAGAGCCGCUGGGAGGGAGGAUGCACAAAAUCCAGGGGGAUGAUUCACCACCAGUCGGCUCUUUGUGAAGGUCUUUUAGGAAUUAAUCAGAGAGAAGAGGAGGUGAAAAAGGAGAGUGGGGGAUGACAAGCAACGAUGGACAGCAGGAGAGGAAGGGAAAUGAGUUUCUCAGGUCACAAGUGUCGCUGCUCAUUGUUGAUGGAAACUACAAGAGGCUUGUCUGACCGUUCUUUAGCACCUUGUCUGUCUGACUCAAGGGGCCAAAAUAAAUCAAGAUGGAAUUAUGAAAACAGAUCAGACUCUCGGGGUUGAUGUCAGCAGGAGAACAAUAAACGGCUGAAGCGGGAAACUGACUUACAGAUGAAUCAGUACUACAAACAGAGUCAACAGACUCCACGAUCAAUACCUUUUGUCAUAUGAAUGCGUGCUCUGUAGGGUGAACACUGCACUGGAAGAAAAAUGAAGACGCCAUCUUCCUGAGGAGCUGGAGGCAAACACCUUAUUCCUCAUACGGAUGGCGGCGAUUGUGGAAGAUAAGCGAUCUUGUUGCAAAGCCAUAAUUGCACAUUACAAUGCAACUCAAAAGUCAGCCAUUUCAGUAAACUCAAAAGCAAUUGGCAGAGAGGAUUUCUUUUCUGCAGAGGCCUCAUAAUCAAUAUGACACCGUGAAUUGGGUGACAGAAGGAAUAAGGCUCUGGGCUGAGAUAAACGAGGCCUGCAGUGAGAACUGAGGGCCCUCGUGGCCCGACACUGAGUGUUGUUAUCUGAUUGUUCUCGCCCGCAUGGGCCUUUGCUCCGCCGUUCACCCACAAGUCAACCUGACAGCUCAGUGUCCUUUUAACUGCCAGGAUAAAUCACAGCACUCACUUCCUGCUGUUGCCAAGGCAACGCCAUGCAAUUUUGAGCAACACUGUACCUUUGCC
Nothobranchius furzeri (turquoise killifish) is the source of this 1459-nucleotide long non-coding RNA. RefSeq lists it as uncharacterized. The record is from RefSeq and is a predicted model, not a curated record. NCBI's taxonomy places the organism in Eukaryota, Metazoa, Chordata, Actinopteri, Cyprinodontiformes, Nothobranchiidae.